CCCGCCAGUCUCCCCAGCCCUCGUCCUCGUCUUCAUCUCCAUGCCUAUCCAAGCGAGCAGGUGCUGAUGGUGGUUUUGAUCUACCGUGCAGGAGGCGGCGGGCUCGGCUUGAUGGUGGAAAUAAUAAAUCGAGGUUAAGGAGAAGUGAUUCCGCUUCAUUCCUAUGUUGCUUCCUUUGAUUCAGCUUCUCGGCCAUGCUCGCUCUACCGCGGCGAUGGAUUCCACCGCCGCACACGACGUUUGAAGAGGAGGAGCUGCAAGAACUGACUACAUCUACUACCUCGCGUCCCCGUUGACCUGCGAGAAGGUACACAACGGUGAUGAGGUCAGAGCCUUGUUUAAGCAAGUGCAAGGAGAAGUUCCUGGAUCGCCUAUAUUUAUUAUGAAGGUGGCAUCUUAGAGCCAACAUCUAGAGGUUCACUUGCUAUGUAACAAGCAUGACAACGUGGCAGCACUGCACAGUCGAGACUGUAGUGUUCAAAGAAGGCACCAAAAGCUGAACUAGGGAAGGAUGCCAAAGUUACAUGUACACAACCCUUAUUCUGCUAACCAUGGCUCUCUUUUGGAGAUCGCUCGCGGAAGUUGUUUGCCUUUGGUUACCCCAAGGGGUUCACAGGCCGUAGCUCCUCCUUCCCCAACCCCACUUUGUCUCCCAUGUGAUUUGCCUGUUCCUGAUCUUGGUGGCUGCCAUGUCUCCAAUUUUCAUUGGGCAGGGCUACUAAAGUAAAGGAGCAAACUGGAAAUUCCACCUGCAUAUUUUAGGGUUCUUGCAGAUCAUGCUGGUCACUCCGGGGCGUUGGAGUGGGCCAACUUCCUGACGACAGGCAAGAUUGAGCCGAUCGGCUGCUCGGCGGCAACCAUGAGGUGAGGCGUGGUGCCAGCUGCAGCGGGUGCAGGAAGCAACAACAUAUAAAGAUGGGCGCCGAGGUACACCGUUCACUCCCUCUAAAGGAAGAAUCGAUGUAGUAGCUAGCAUUCAGUUUUAGAUGCUAUGUAUUUCUAUUUUUUUUUGGCAGUAGAGAGCUAUGUAUCUCGUAGUAGUACCGUUUGACGCUCUGGUUAUCAUUUUAACUGUUGGACGUGCUUCUAAUCCACUCUGUAAGAAUGUGACUUCUAUGUUAAUAUAGACCUACCACUAAACAGUUUGCUGCUGCACCUCUGUUAAUUGUGUUCUUUUUUGAACAACUAGUGUCCAUCUUCGUUUCAUACGCACAUUCACAAAUAAAACAACUGGAUUGGUGUGCAAAGGACCAUAGAGGAGGCG
Molecule: long non-coding RNA, 1264 nt
Organism: Triticum dicoccoides
Lineage: Eukaryota; Viridiplantae; Streptophyta; Magnoliopsida; Poales; Poaceae
Exons: 5
Source: RefSeq, a predicted model, not a curated record